AUCUUUCUAGUAUAACAUUAAUAUAAGUGACUUCCAAUCACCCGAUCUUGGUUAAAAUCCAAGGAAAGAUA
Molecule: transfer RNA, 71 nt
Filed under: Stethojulis bandanensis (red shoulder wrasse)
Lineage: Eukaryota; Metazoa; Chordata; Actinopteri; Labriformes; Labridae
Also listed under: 1 other name
Description: tRNA-Gly
Rfam family: tRNA
About the family: Transfer RNA (tRNA) molecules are approximately 80 nucleotides in length. Their secondary structure includes four short double-helical elements and three loops (D, anti-codon, and T loops). Further hydrogen bonds mediate the characteristic L-shaped molecular structure. tRNAs have two regions of fundamental functional importance: the anti-codon, which is responsible for specific mRNA codon recognition, and the 3' end, to which the tRNAs corresponding amino acid is attached (by aminoacyl-tRNA synthetases). tRNAs cope with the degeneracy of the genetic code in two manners: having more than one tRNA (with a specific anti-codon) for a particular amino acid; and 'wobble' base-pairing, i.e. permitting non-standard base-pairing at the 3rd anti-codon position.
Source: RNAcentral